Molecule: non-coding RNA, 82 nt
Filed under: Devosia sp.
Lineage: Bacteria; Pseudomonadati; Pseudomonadota; Alphaproteobacteria; Hyphomicrobiales; Devosiaceae
Description: ZTP sequence
Rfam family: ZMP/ZTP riboswitch aptamer (pfl RNA motif)
About the family: Previously known as pfl RNA. ZMP is also known as AICAR.
Source: RNAcentral
GCGCGUUCGCGCGACUGGCGAGAUCAGAUGGGGCACCAUCGGGGAACGCGAACGAUAUUUGCCGCUCGCCUGGGCACCUCAC